RNAcentral lists this ribosomal RNA (497 nucleotides) under uncultured bacterium. Its description in RNAcentral is "partial 16S ribosomal RNA". It matches the Rfam family "Bacterial small subunit ribosomal RNA", at positions 28 to 507 of the family's 1533-position model. The record is from RNAcentral.
GACGAACGCUGGCGGCGUGCCUAAUACAUGCAAGUUGAGCGCUGACGGAUGGUACUUGUACCAACUGGAUGAGCAGCGGACGGGUGAGUAACGCGUGGGGAAUCUGCCUUUGAGCGGGGGACAACAUUUGGAAACGAAUGCUAAUACCGCAUAAAAACUUUAAACACAAGAUUCAAGUUUGCAAGAUGCAAUUGCAUCACUCAAAGAUGAUCCCGCGUUGUAUUAGCUAGUUGGUGAGGUAAAGGCUCACCAAGGCGAUGAUACAUAGACGACCUGAGAGGGUGAUCGGCCACAUUGGGACUGAGACACGGCCCAAACUCCUACGGGAGGCAGCAGUAGGGAAUCUUCGGCAAUGGACGAAAGUCUGACCGAGCAACGCCGCGUGAGUGAAGAAGGUUUUCGGAUCGUAAAACUCUGUUGGUAGAGAAGAGAGUUGGUGAGAGUGGAAAGCUCAUCAAGUGACGGUAACUACCCAGAAAGGGACGGCUAACUACGUG